RNAcentral lists this ribosomal RNA (344 nucleotides) under uncultured bacterium. RNAcentral's name for it is "bacterial SSU rRNA". It matches the Rfam family "Bacterial small subunit ribosomal RNA", at positions 8 to 334 of the family's 1533-position model. The record is from RNAcentral.
AGGGUUUGAUUCUGGCUCAGGAUGAACGCUGGCGGCGUGCUUAACACAUGCAAGUCGAACGAAGCGCUUGAGAUUGAUUCUUCGGAAGAUUUCUCUUGUGACUUAGUGGCGGACGGGUGAGUAACGCGUGGGUAACCUGCCUCACACAGGGGGAUAACAGUUGGAAACGACCGCUAAUACCGCAUAACCCGCUAGGGCCGCAUGGCCCGGACGGAAAAGAUUUAUCGGUGUGAGAUGGACCCGCGUUGGAUUAGCUAGUUGGCAGGGUAACGGCCUACCAAGGCGACGAUCCAUAGCCGGCCUGAGAGGGUGAACGGCCACAUUGGGACUGAGACACGGCCCAA